CAAUGAUGCAUAGCCGAGUUGAGAGACUGAUCGGGCCACAUUGGGACUGAGACACGGCCCAAAACUCCUACGGGGAGGCAGCAGUAGGAAUCUUCCACAAUGGACGCAAGUCUGAUGGAGCAACGCCGCGUGAGUGAAGAAGGGUUUCGGCUCGUAAAAGCUCUGUUGGUAGUGAAGAAAGAUAGAGGUAGUAACUGGCCUUUAUUUGACGGUAAUUGCUUAGAAGUCACGGCUAACUACGUGCCAGCAGCCGCGGUAAU
RNAcentral lists this ribosomal RNA (260 nucleotides) under uncultured Lactobacillus sp. RNAcentral describes it as "partial 16S ribosomal RNA". It matches the Rfam family "Bacterial small subunit ribosomal RNA", at positions 274 to 524 of the family's 1533-position model. The record is from RNAcentral. Lineage: Bacteria; Bacillati; Bacillota; Bacilli; Lactobacillales; Lactobacillaceae.